GGGGCAAUAGCUCAGUUGGGAGAGCGCAGCAAUCGCACUGCUGAGGUCGGGGGUUCGAAUCCCCCUUGCUCCACCA
This 76-nucleotide transfer RNA is filed under the name Rhodomicrobium sp. RNAcentral describes it as "tRNA-Ala". It matches the Rfam family "tRNA". From Rfam's summary of the family: Transfer RNA (tRNA) molecules are approximately 80 nucleotides in length. Their secondary structure includes four short double-helical elements and three loops (D, anti-codon, and T loops). The record is from RNAcentral. Lineage: Bacteria; Pseudomonadati; Pseudomonadota; Alphaproteobacteria; Hyphomicrobiales; Hyphomicrobiaceae.